GGUUAGUCAGGGAGGACAGGUGGUGCAUGGUUGUCGUCAGCUCGUGUCGUGAGAUGUGGUUAAGUCCCGCAACGAGCGCAACCCUUAUUGCUAGUUACCAUCAUUAAGUUGGGGACUCUAGCGAGACUGCCAGUGAUAAACUGGAGGAAGGUGGGGAUGACGUCAAAUCAUCAUGCCCCUUAUGACCUGGGCUACAAACGUGAUACAAUGGCUGAAACAAAGGGCAGCGAAGGAGCGAUCUGGAGCGAAACCCAAAAAUACAGUCUCAGUUCGGAUUGAAGUCUGCAACUCGACUUCAUGAAGUCGGAAUCGCUAGUAAUCGCGGAUCAGAACGCCGCGGUGAAUACGUUCCCGGGCCUU
This 360-nucleotide ribosomal RNA is filed under the name uncultured Acholeplasma sp. RNAcentral describes it as "bacterial SSU rRNA". It matches the Rfam family "Bacterial small subunit ribosomal RNA", at positions 1019 to 1382 of the family's 1533-position model. Lineage: Bacteria; Bacillati; Mycoplasmatota; Mollicutes; Acholeplasmatales; Acholeplasmataceae. The record is from RNAcentral.